UUUAAAAAUUAUUUUUAGUGCUCGCUAAAAUUGGAAUGAUACAGAGAAGAAUAACAUGGCCCCUGCACAAGGAUGACAUGAAAAUUUGAGAAGCGGUCCAUAUUUUU
Molecule: small nuclear RNA, 107 nt
Organism: Suncus etruscus (white-toothed pygmy shrew)
Lineage: Eukaryota; Metazoa; Chordata; Mammalia; Eulipotyphla; Soricidae
Source: RefSeq, a predicted model, not a curated record